This 229-nucleotide ribosomal RNA is filed under the name uncultured bacterium. Its description in RNAcentral is "partial 16S ribosomal RNA". It matches the Rfam family "Bacterial small subunit ribosomal RNA", at positions 524 to 750 of the family's 1533-position model. The record is from RNAcentral.
UACGGAGGGUGCGAGCGUUGUCCGGAAUCAUUGGGCGUAAAGGGCGCGUAGGUGGCCCGGUCAGUUCGUGGUGAAAGCGCGGGGCUCAACCCUGCGUCGGCCAUGAAUACUGCCGCGGCUGGAGCACUGUAGAGGCAGGCGGAAUUCCGGGUGUAGCGGUGGAAUGCGUAGAGAUCCGGAAGAACACCGGGUGGCGAAGGCGGCCUGCUGGGCAGUAGCUGACGCUGAG